GUCGUCGUGGCGGAACUGGUAGACGCGCUAGACUCAGAAUCUAGUGGUGGCAACACCGUGGAGGUUCAAGUCCUCUCGGCGGCA
The sequence is a transfer RNA, 84 nucleotides long. It matches the Rfam family "tRNA". From Rfam's summary of the family: Transfer RNA (tRNA) molecules are approximately 80 nucleotides in length. The record is from Rfam.